This 421-nucleotide long non-coding RNA is filed under the name Macaca mulatta (Rhesus monkey). Its description in RNAcentral is "lncRNA (ENSMMUG00000051063.1)". Lineage: Eukaryota; Metazoa; Chordata; Mammalia; Primates; Cercopithecidae. The record is from RNAcentral.
CAGUGUUUUCCCUGGCUGGGCUCUGCCUCCUGGCCUGGGACUGAGAGAGAAAGUGCUAAUGAGAUUAGGCUCCGAAGUCUCCAUCUUACCACAAUCCCUCCCCACCUGUACUCACUGCCCACCCCCACCGCCAGCCUGACUCAGACAUUUCUGUUUUAGCUUCCCACACACAGGCCAGGGCUGCCUCGCCUGUCUGUGCGUCAUGGAGAAUUCAGCAGUGGUGACCCCAACAUCAGAGCUCCCCAGCUUCUGGGACGUUCAGAGCCCUCAGCCUACAGCCUGGGAGGCCUCGUGCCCAGACGCCACGCACCCUCCGGUGACCAGCAGCCACCUGUCCAUCCCCCAAGACCAGAAAGGCAGCAGCAGCCCCCGGGAGCCCAGGACUGUCCUCGGUGCAUCCAGCUGCAGAAGGAAAUUGAGG